Molecule: long non-coding RNA, 913 nt
Organism: Dreissena polymorpha
Lineage: Eukaryota; Metazoa; Mollusca; Bivalvia; Myida; Dreissenidae
Exons: 2
Source: RefSeq, a predicted model, not a curated record
AACAAUGUCGCAAUUUGUAUACCAAGUUUUAUAAGAAUUGUUUCAUAAAAGUAACCAAUGUGUCUGUUCUAUGUCAAGGUAACUACUAGGAUGAAAUACACAAAAAGAUUUUGGUUCACAAUAGGGUAGGCUCCGCGUGCCGUGAACCGGGCAACAGCUUUUGUCAUUUAACAUUUGUGUUUUAAUGGCAUAAGCUGGCAGAUACCCGUUAACUUUAACGAUGUUUUCCGAUAAUUUCUCGGAAAAUACAAUCUAGCAAUUUUGAUUUAAUUUAGAUUACUAAAAAUUAAUAUUAUAUUUAUGCCCCCCCUUGGAAAAAGAGGGGUAUAUUGUUUUGCACAUGUCAGUUGGUUGGUCCACCAGAUGGUUUCCUGAUGAUAACUCAAGAACGCUUUGGCCUAGGAUCAUGAAACUUCAUAGGUUUAUUGAUCUCGAAAUAGUAAAAUGGUUUCCGGAUGAUAACUCAAGAACGCUUACGCCUAGGAUCAUGAAACUUCAUAGGUACAUUGAUGAUGACUCGCAGAUGACCUCUAUUGAUUUUCAGGUCACUAAGUCAAAAGUCAAGGUCACAGUGACUCGAAAUAGAAAAAUGGUUUCCGGAUGAUAACUCAUAAAAGCUUACGCCUAGGAUCAUAAAAUAAAAAAAUCAUAGGUACAUUGAUAAUGACUGGCAGAUGACCCCCUUCAUAGGUACAUUGAUAAUGACUGGCAGAAGACCCCUAUUGAUUUUCAGGUCACUAGGUCAAAAGUCAAGUUCACAGUGACAAAAACGUAUUCACAAUGGCUGCCACUACAACUGACAGCCCAUAGGGGGGCAUGCAUGUUUUACAAACAGCCCUUGUUCUGUGUUAAAAUUAUGUACACGUCUGCGUUAAAUAAAUAUGUUCACAUUUGAAAUAAAGCUAAAAAUGUG